Long non-coding RNA from Coregonus clupeaformis (lake whitefish), 230 nucleotides. RefSeq lists it as uncharacterized. Lineage: Eukaryota; Metazoa; Chordata; Actinopteri; Salmoniformes; Salmonidae. The record is from RefSeq and is a predicted model, not a curated record. The transcript has 3 exons.
GUGUCCCUGCCCCCUGCAAUUUGAAUACAGCCACCUCCACAGCACAGAAAAGGAAGAGAAAAGCUCCACCGGUCACGUCUGUCACGCCACCCAUGGCACUACUCUCAGAAGACACCACCUGCUGUGCUCGCUGUGGGGAGCAUGAUCCGCCUACAAGCUACCCUCAGGAGUGUAGAUCCGAGGUGCCAUGGGUGUGCUGUGACUUCUGCCAGCACUGGUUCCACUGCAGG